Molecule: ribosomal RNA, 422 nt
Filed under: uncultured bacterium
Lineage: Bacteria
Description: bacterial SSU rRNA
Rfam family: Bacterial small subunit ribosomal RNA
Source: RNAcentral
UAAGGAAUAUUGGUCAAUGGACGCAAGUCUGAACCAGCCAUGCCGCGUGGAGGAUGAAGGUCCUCUGGAUUGUAAACUUCUUUUAUCUGGGACGAAACACUCCUAUUCUUAGGGGCCUGACGGUACCAGAUGAAUAAGCACCGGCUAACUCCGUGCCAGCAGCCGCGGUAAUACGGAGGGUGCAAGCGUUAUCCGGAUUCACCGGGUUUAAAGGGUGCGUAGGUGGGUAUGUAAGUCAGUGGUGAAAUCCCCGAGCUUAACUUGGGAACUGCCGUUGAUACUAUAUAUCUUGAAUGUCGUAGAGGUAAGCGGAAUAUGUCAUGUAGCGGUGAAAUGCUUAGAUAUGACAUAGAACACCAAUUGCGAAGGCAGCUUACUACACAAUCAUUGACACUGAGGCACGAAAGCGUGGGUAGCGAACA